This 522-nucleotide ribosomal RNA is filed under the name Cyclocephala amblyopsis. Its description in RNAcentral is "partial 16S ribosomal RNA". It matches the Rfam family "Bacterial large subunit ribosomal RNA", at positions 1819 to 2610 of the family's 2925-position model. Lineage: Eukaryota; Metazoa; Arthropoda; Insecta; Coleoptera; Scarabaeidae. The record is from RNAcentral.
GUCUUUUUGAUUAUAAUUUAAAGUCUAACCUGCCCAAUGAGUAGUUAAAUGGCCGCGGUAAUUUGACCGUGCAAAGGUAGCAUAAUCAUUAGUUUUUUAAUUGAAAGCUGGAAUGAAUGGUUGGACGAGAAAAUUACUGUCUCAAUUUAAUUGAAUGUAGAAUUUUAUUUAUAAGUAAAAAAGCUUAUAUGAGUUUAAAAGACGAGAAGACCCUAUAGAAUUUUAUAUUAUUAUUAAUUAUUUUAUUUAAGAAUCUAUAAGGAUUGAUUAAUAAUAAUAUUUUGUUGGGGUGACAGAAAAAUUUAAUAAACUUUUUUUUUAUAAGUUCAUUAAUUUAUGAGUUAUUGAUCCGUAUAUUACGAUUAUAAGAUUAAAUUACCUUAGGGAUAACAGCGUAAUUUUUUUUUAGAGUUCUAAUCGAAAAAAGAGUUUGCGACCUCGAUGUUGGAUUAAAAUUAACUUUUGGUGUAGGGGCUAAAAGGUUAGGUCUGUUCGACCUUUAAAAUUUUACAUGAUCUGAGU